RNAcentral lists this ribosomal RNA (253 nucleotides) under uncultured bacterium. RNAcentral describes it as "partial 16S ribosomal RNA". It matches the Rfam family "Bacterial small subunit ribosomal RNA", at positions 524 to 776 of the family's 1533-position model. The record is from RNAcentral.
UACAGAGGUCCCAAGCGUUGUUCGGAUUCACUGGGCGUAAAGGGUGCGUAGGUGGCCAGGUAAGUUUGGUGUGAAAGCUCGGAGCUUAACUCCGAAAAGUCAUUGAAUACUAUCUGGCUGGAGGGUCGGAGGGGAGACUGGAAUUCUCGGUGUAGCAGUGAAAUGCGUAGAUAUCGAGAGGAACACCAGUGGCGAAGGCGAGUCUCUGGACGACACCUGACACUGAGGCGCGAAAGCUAGGGGAGCAAACGGG